UCAUAUCCAAAAUCAUUAUGCAGGUUGAUUUCUAAACCCAUUGAACAUAAUGAUCCAACGCCAUCUCCCAAUUUUGAAUUCCCUGUAUUCGAGGCAGAGGAAGAUGAUGUUGACGAGAUUCCUGAUGAGAUUACCCGUCUUCUUGAGCACGAAGAUAAGAUCAUUCAGCCGCAUCUUGAGAACCCAUAAACAGUCAAAUUGGGGUUUUACAAAUGUAAAAAAAAGGGGGGCGAAAAAAAAAUAAAAUAAAAUAAAAAAAUAAAAAAAG
RNAcentral lists this long non-coding RNA (268 nucleotides) under Lathyrus oleraceus (garden pea). RNAcentral's name for it is "Pisum sativum (pea) long non-coding RNA (PSAT_LNC006446)". The record is from RNAcentral. Lineage: Eukaryota; Viridiplantae; Streptophyta; Magnoliopsida; Fabales; Fabaceae.